RNAcentral lists this ribosomal RNA (253 nucleotides) under uncultured bacterium. RNAcentral's name for it is "partial 16S ribosomal RNA". It matches the Rfam family "Bacterial small subunit ribosomal RNA", at positions 524 to 776 of the family's 1533-position model. The record is from RNAcentral.
UACAGAGGUCCCAAGCGUUGUUCGGAUUCAUUGGGCGUAAAGGGUGCGUAGGCGGCGCGGUAAGUCGGGUGUGAAAUCUCGGGGCUUAACUCCGAAACUGCAUUCGAUACUGCCGUGCUUGAGGACUGGAGAGGAGACUGGAAUUUACGGUGUAGCGGUGAAAUGCGUAGAUAUCGUAAGGAAGACCAGUGGCGAAGGCGGGUCUCUGGGUCGUACCUGACGCUGAGGCGCGAAAGCGUGGGGGGCGAACGGG